This is a non-coding RNA of Sardina pilchardus (European sardine), 603 nucleotides long. Lineage: Eukaryota; Metazoa; Chordata; Actinopteri; Clupeiformes; Clupeidae. The record is from the annotation of a RefSeq genome assembly.
GGGCUUCAUGACUGACUAGUGUCCUCAGCAUCCACAACAAUGGCUUUCAUCACCCUCUUCAUCUACUCUCUGCUCCUCUACAUCCAAGACUCCAGGGCACAGGUGACCGUUACUCAAACUCCAGCCAUGUUGACCAGUCCAGGGGGCUCAGUCACCAUCAGCUGCAAACGCAGUGGAAGUAUUUAUGAUUCCUGUGUAGCCUACGGUUCACCAUCAUGCAUCUCCUGGUACCAACAGCAGUCUGGAGAGAAACCCAAACUCCUCAUCUAUAGAGUGAGCAGCCUCCAGUCUGGUAUUCCAUCUCGGUUUAGUGGCAGUGGAUCUGGGAAUGACUUCAGUCUGACCAUCAGUGGAGUCCAGAGUGAAGAUGCAGGACAUUAUUACUGCAUGAGUCAUCAUAGAAUCGGUGGUAGUAGCGGUCCUUGGGUGUUCACACAGUGAUACAGAGUCGUACAAAAACCUCCUUCAGUGGAACAGAUCAGUGAGCGCUCUACUGCAGCUGGGACACACUGCAGCUGCUGAAGAAGAGGGAAGUGAAGACCACAUGACAUGAACUCAUGAGGACCCGACGCAAGGAUAUGACUAGACACCUGACUAUACUAG